CAUUGGCCUCUAGGGGGAGCCCAUCGGCCGUCAACCUCUGAGGAUCUCCUCCUCCGGGCUGGCAGGCUGGCCCUUGCAGAGCUCAGGUUGGGCAGCAGCCAGAAUAAGGCUAUGGCAAGGUUUGAUAAAUUGGUGUUUUGUGCCUCCUGCACUGUGGGCAACUUCCUGACGGACAACUGCUGACUUUCUAGACUUUGAAGCUAAAAGAUAUGUAGGAGACAGAGGUCUCGUGGUUUUGGCUAAUAAAAGUCUUCCCUAGCUAACUGAUCACAGAUCAGUAAGCGUCCGGCUUUGCUGUGAAAAUGUCUCCCUCACUUCUGGUUUGUCUUACCAAUAACUGAUUAGUCAUUAGUUGAACUGUCUAAUGACUUAAAACAAUCUAACAACGCAAGAUGUUCUCCAUUGUGCACACCUAUAUUCUGCCUCUAAAGAUUUCCUGAAGAAAGAAGUCAUGCAAACCAGAAAGCAAGGUGUGUACACCUUGCAACUUGAAUUGGGUCAGAGAGCAGACCCCAAGGGUGGAAGGAGGAAAACAUCUGCCUUUCUCACAGCAGAACUCCAGCCGCAGUGACCAGGCCAGGCCAAUUGUCAAGAAGAAAUUUAUCUCAGUUAUGUUGCCAUCAGGAACUCAGAGGAUCUUUCAGCUCUUUGAAAACCAGCCAAGGACUACAUGUAUUCGAAAGUGCCUGCAAAUAUUACAAACAGCAAGAGGAAGGGUGUUGUCAAGAGAACUGAAAGCCUGACCUGUGCCUCAACCCAGCAUUGAUCUUGACACUUCAACUCACAUCAAGGUGAUGCUCUUAGCUUUUGUCAGGUGACUCAAUAUCGCUGAUCAUGUGAAGAAAAAG
Molecule: long non-coding RNA, 848 nt
Filed under: Mus spicilegus (steppe mouse)
Lineage: Eukaryota; Metazoa; Chordata; Mammalia; Rodentia; Muridae
Description: lncRNA (ENSMSIG00000025680.1)
Source: RNAcentral